This 209-nucleotide ribosomal RNA is filed under the name uncultured bacterium. RNAcentral describes it as "partial 16S ribosomal RNA". It matches the Rfam family "Bacterial small subunit ribosomal RNA", at positions 568 to 775 of the family's 1533-position model. The record is from RNAcentral.
CACGCAGGCGGUCUGUCAAGUCGGAUGUGAAAUCCCCGGGCUCAACCUGGGAACUGCAUUCGAAACUGGCAGGCUUGAGUCUUGUAGAGGGGGGUAGAAUUCCAGGUGUAGCGGUGAAAUGCGUAGAGAUCUGGAGGAAUACCGGUGGCGAAGGCGGCCCCCUGGACAAAGACUGACGCUCAGGUGCGAAAGCGUGGGGAAGCAAAACA